AUUGAACGCUGGCGGCAGGCUUAACACAUGCAAGUCGAGCGAGCGGCGGACGGGUGAGUAAUGUCUGGGAAACUGCCUGAUGGAGGGGGAUAUCUACUGGAAACGGUAGCUAAUACCGCAUACCCUCAGAUGUGCCCAGAUGGGAUUAGCUAGUAGGUGGGGUAAUUGCUCACCUAGGCGACGAUCCCUAGCUGGUCUGAGAGGAUGACCAGCCACACUGGAACUGAGACACGGUCCAGACGCCUACGGGAGGCAGCAGUGUGGAAUAUUGCACAAUGGGCGCAAGCCGAAUGCAGCCAGGCCGCGUGUGUGAAGAAGGCCUUAGGGUUGUAAAGGACUUGCAGCGGGGAGGCGUUACCCGCAGAAGAAGCACCGGCUAACUCCGUGCCAGCAGCCGCGGUAAUAC
Molecule: ribosomal RNA, 406 nt
Filed under: uncultured bacterium
Lineage: Bacteria
Description: partial 16S ribosomal RNA
Rfam family: Bacterial small subunit ribosomal RNA
Source: RNAcentral